Non-coding RNA from Phoenix dactylifera (date palm), 641 nucleotides. The record is from RefSeq and is a predicted model, not a curated record. NCBI's taxonomy places the organism in Eukaryota, Viridiplantae, Streptophyta, Magnoliopsida, Arecales, Arecaceae.
CACCGAAAUCUUUCGUUUUCUGCUCUCGCCCGAUGGAUCGAUUCAAGGGUUCAGAAGAGACCAGAACGAAUCGCCGGAAACCCCAGAAGAAAACAGGGUCCGCGGUGAGGAGGCGCCGGAAACGAUAAACGGCGGCGAAGGAGGGGCCGAAGGGAGGGAAGCACCGGAGGAUCCGACGCUGUUCAUGGGGAUGAAGGUAUGGAGAAUAGCCUCGAUCCACGGGACUGCAAGGGGGAUUACCUCGGCGUCGCUUCCGAUCCCUAUGUCACCGAGACAGUUCUCUGGAUCGCUAUAUGUCCUUUCACAUUUGGAAGCUCUCUUUGUUUCGGUGAGGCAAUAUUCUUUGAAUAAUGUGUUCUUUUGUAUGGACGGAAAAGCCUUUGCAAGCAAUCAGAGAAGUGAUGGUUUGAAUGCAACAAUGUGAUGAUUAAUUUUAAAGCUGUAUUGAUGAUUAAAACUCUUUAUUCAACUGCAAUCUAUCAAAUGUAUUUAUUCUGUUUAACAUCUUUCAAUAGAGUUUAAAAAGAAGUCUGUCCAACUUGAUCUUCAUCUAAGUUUUCAGUCAAUACAACAUUAUGCUCUAUGGAUUCUGUCAUCUGUUGUAAAGUUAUAAAAUGACUAGCACUUAGGACUUCUCUAAC